UACGAAGGGGGCUAGCGUUGCUCGGAAUCACUGGGCGUAAAGGGUGCGUAGGCGGGUCUUUAAGUCAGGGGUGAAAUCCUGGAGCUCAACUCCAGAACUGCCUUUGAUACUGGCAUUCUCGAGUCCGGAAGAGGUGAGUGGAAUUCCCGGUGUAGCGGUGAAAUGCGCAGAUAUCGGGAAGAACACCCGUGGCGAAGGCGGCUCUCUGGGACGGUACUGACGCUGAGACGCGAAAGCGUGGGGAGCGAACAGG
RNAcentral lists this ribosomal RNA (253 nucleotides) under uncultured bacterium. Its description in RNAcentral is "partial 16S ribosomal RNA". It matches the Rfam family "Bacterial small subunit ribosomal RNA", at positions 524 to 776 of the family's 1533-position model. The record is from RNAcentral.